UACGAAGGGGGCUAGCGUUGCUCGGAAUCACUGGGCGUAAAGGGCGCGUAGGCGGCCGAUCAAGUCGAGGGUGAAAGCCUGUGGCUCAACCACAGAAUUGCCUUCGAUACUGGUUGGCUCGAGACCGGAAGAGGUUAGUGGAACUGCGAGUGUAGAGGUGAAAUUCGUAGAUAUUCGCAAGAACACCAGUGGCGAAGGCGGCUAACUGGUCCGGUUCUGACGCUGAGGCGCGAAAGCGUGGGGAGCAAACAGG
This 253-nucleotide ribosomal RNA is filed under the name uncultured bacterium. RNAcentral describes it as "partial 16S ribosomal RNA". It matches the Rfam family "Bacterial small subunit ribosomal RNA", at positions 524 to 776 of the family's 1533-position model. The record is from RNAcentral.